CAAUCUGCCCUGCACUCUGGGACAAGCCCUGGAAACGGGGUCUAAUACCGGAUGACACUCCUUCAGGCAUCUGGAGGGGUUGAAAGCUCCGGCGGUGCAGGAUGAGCCCGCGGCCUAUCAGCUUGUUGGUGAGGUAGUGGCUCACCAAGGCGACGACGGGUAGCCGGCCUGAGAGGGCGACCGGCCACACUGGGACUGAGACACGGCCCAGACUCCUACGGGAGGCAGCAGUGGGGAAUAUUGCACAAUGGGCGCAAGCCUGAUGCAGCGACGCCGCGUGAGGGAUGACGGCCUUCGGGUUGUAAACCUCUUUCAGCAGGGAAGAAGCGAAAGUGACGGUACCUGCAGAAGAAGCGCCGGCUAACUACGUGCCAGCAGCCGCGGUAAUACGUAGGGCGCAAGCGUUGUCCGGAAUUAUUGGGCGUAAAGAGCUCGUAGGCGGCUUGUCGCGUCGGUUGUGAAAGCCCGGGGCUUAACCCCGGGUCUGCAGUCGAUACGGGCAGGCUAGAGUUCGGUAGGGGAGAUCGGAAUUUCCUGGUGUAGCGGUGAAAUG
This 553-nucleotide ribosomal RNA is filed under the name Streptomyces sp. MSWC7. RNAcentral describes it as "bacterial SSU rRNA". It matches the Rfam family "Bacterial small subunit ribosomal RNA", at positions 122 to 688 of the family's 1533-position model. Lineage: Bacteria; Bacillati; Actinomycetota; Actinomycetes; Kitasatosporales; Streptomycetaceae. The record is from RNAcentral.